CAAUAGCGUAUAUUAAUGUUGUUGCAGUUAAAAAGCUCGUAGUUGGAUUUGUGGUGUGUCCUGUCGGUCCGUGGGCUCAGCCUGCGUGUCUGUACGGGUCCGCCUUUUAUGGGAUUGUUGGCUUUGUGGCAUUAGGUUGUCGCAUUGUCGGUGCCCAUCUUUUACUGUGAAAAAAUUAGAGUGUUCAAAGCAGGCUUAUGCCGUUGAAUAUAUUAGCAUGGAAUAAUAAUAUAGGACCUUGGUACUAUUUUGUUGGUUUGCGCACUGAGGUAAUGAUUAAUAGGGACAGUUGGGGGUAUUCGUAUUCCAUUGUCAGAGGUGAAAUUCUUGGAUUUUUGGAAGACGAACUACUGCGAAAGCAUUUACCAAGGAUGUUUUCAUUAA
RNAcentral lists this ribosomal RNA (384 nucleotides) under uncultured eukaryote. RNAcentral describes it as "partial 18S ribosomal RNA". It matches the Rfam family "Eukaryotic small subunit ribosomal RNA", at positions 592 to 976 of the family's 1831-position model. The record is from RNAcentral.